RNAcentral lists this ribosomal RNA (249 nucleotides) under Klebsiella pneumoniae. RNAcentral's name for it is "partial 23S ribosomal RNA". It matches the Rfam family "Bacterial large subunit ribosomal RNA", at positions 1516 to 1762 of the family's 2925-position model. The record is from RNAcentral. Lineage: Bacteria; Pseudomonadati; Pseudomonadota; Gammaproteobacteria; Enterobacterales; Enterobacteriaceae.
GCAUGUAGGCUGAUUGUCCAGGCAAAUCCGGAUAAUCAAGGCUGAGGUGUGAUGACGAGGCACUACGGUGCUGAAGUAACAAAUGCCCUGCUUCCAGGAAAAGCCUCUAAGCAUCAGGUAACAUUAAAUCGUACCCCAAACCGACACAGGUGGUCAGGUAGAGAAUACCAAGGCGCUUGAGAGAACUCGGGUGAAGGAACUAGGCAAAAUGGUGCCGUAACUUCGGGAGAAGGCACGCUGGUGUGUAGG